Molecule: unclassified non-coding RNA, 200 nt
Filed under: Tremellodendropsidales sp.
Lineage: Eukaryota; Fungi; Basidiomycota; Agaricomycetes; Tremellodendropsidales
Description: partial internal transcribed spacer 2
Source: RNAcentral
UUAAGUUCAGCGGGUAGUCCUACCUGAUUCGAGGCCAGAUGUGAUGAAAAUUGUCCGAAGACGGUUAUGAGCCACUCCGUAUUCGACCUCAGCGCCUUGCGGCUACGGCGUAGAUGUAUUAUCACACCGAGUAACUGAAGCCGAAAGAGCCAGCUAAUACAUUUAAGACGAGCCGAGCGUAAACCCAGCAACGUCCAAGU